UUAAGUUCAGCGGGUAGUCCUACCUGAUUUGAGGUCAAAUUGUCAUGUAUUGUCUGAGACGGUUAGAAGCAGUGCUAAGCAGACCAUCCAUGCAUGGCGUAGAUAAUUAUCACACCAAUAGACAGUCCACACGGGGCACCAGCUAAUGCAUUUAAGGGGAGCUGACCUGAGCCAGCAAGAGAAACCCCCACAUCCAAGCC
Molecule: unclassified non-coding RNA, 200 nt
Filed under: Agaricales sp.
Lineage: Eukaryota; Fungi; Basidiomycota; Agaricomycetes; Agaricales
Description: partial internal transcribed spacer 2
Source: RNAcentral